UGAUUAGGCUUGAUAGAGGCAGACCGCCUGAAAAUUUAUUCAGGAGAAUCAAACAAAAGGACAUCUCAGUGCCCGUGCACAGCCUGAUAGAGUUAAUGUAAUUGGGUUGUGAGUAAAAAUACUCAGGGCUGUGUUUCACUUCCAUACCAUUGGCGAAUGUCGGUCAUACUGCUCAGAUAUCUCUCAGUGUCUUACAGAAUUGGGUUUCAACACGUUGGUGGACUAGUCCAGGAAUUGAGACAAUCCAUCGCCCAUAUCGACUCCACUCGAGUGGAUAGUCACCGUGAACACCAUCUGGCUUUUUCCCUCGUUGUCUAGUGUUUGUCUCUGGUGCACCA
This 338-nucleotide long non-coding RNA is filed under the name Androctonus crassicauda. The record is from RNAcentral. Lineage: Eukaryota; Metazoa; Arthropoda; Arachnida; Scorpiones; Buthidae.